AAAUCAUUUGUCUUUUAAAUGGGGACCAGUAUGAACGGCACGACGAGGGCUUGACUGUCUCCUUUUUCAAGUCAGUGAAAUUGAUCUUCCCGUGCAGAAGCGGGAAUAUAAACAUAAGACGAGAAGACCCUAUGAAGCUUUAGACACAAGGUAGCCCCUGUUAAACAACUCUUGAUAAAGAACUAAACUUGGCUAAUUCUACCCUAAUGUCUUUGGUUGGGGCGACCGCGGGGUAAAAAGUAACCCCCACGUGGAACGGGAAUAUAACAUUUCCUCGAGUCCUGAGCUACCGCUCUUGGCAGCAGAAUUUCUGACCAUAUGAUCCGGCAACGCCGAUCAGCGAACUAAGUUACUCUAGGGAUAACAGCGCAAUCCCCUUAUAGAGGCCG
Molecule: ribosomal RNA, 389 nt
Filed under: Cottoperca gobio
Lineage: Eukaryota; Metazoa; Chordata; Actinopteri; Perciformes; Bovichtidae
Description: partial 16S ribosomal RNA
Rfam family: Bacterial large subunit ribosomal RNA
Source: RNAcentral